Cydia fagiglandana is the source of this 251-nucleotide long non-coding RNA. RefSeq lists it as uncharacterized. The transcript has 2 exons. The record is from RefSeq and is a predicted model, not a curated record. NCBI's taxonomy places the organism in Eukaryota, Metazoa, Arthropoda, Insecta, Lepidoptera, Tortricidae.
CUUCCGUCUUCUAUGAGCGCCUGGUAGAAUCUUCUUUUUCUUUAUGUUAAACUGUUACCUGUUAGUGCAAAUACAGACGUCAGUCCAUUUUUAUUGCCAAUUCCACAUUUAUGUUUCGUUUAAACACUGAGAUCGUGAACACUGUAUUACACUAGUCCAUUCUUAUCAAUAUUAUCACCCAUAACUAUUAUUUAGAAUGUUUUAUAUACAACUUGCGUCACGAGUAAAUACAUCUAGCGUGGGUCUUGAAA